GACGAACGCUGGCGGCGUGCUUAACACAUGCAAGUCGAACGGUAAGGUCCUUCGGGGUACACGAGUGGCGAACGGGUGAGUAACACGGGGGUGAGCUGCCCUGCACUUCGGGAUAAGCCUGGGAAACUGGGUCUAAUACCGGAGAGGACCACUGCCUGCAUGGGUGGUGGUGGCAAGCUUUUGCGGUGUGGGAUGGGCCCGCGGCCUAUCAGCUUGUUGGUGGGGUGCUGGCCUACCAAGGCGACGACGGGUAGCCGGCCUGAGAGGGUGACCGGCCACACUGGGACUGAGAUACGGCCCAGACUCCUACGGGAGGCAGCAGUGGGGAAUAUUGCACAAUGGGCGCAAGCCUGAUGCAGCGACGCCGCGUGAGGGAUGACGGCCUUCGGGUUGUAAACCUCUUUCAGCACCGACGAAGAGCAAGUGACGGUAGGUGCACAAGAAGGACCGGCCAACUACGUGCCAGCAGCCGCAGUAA
This 478-nucleotide ribosomal RNA is filed under the name uncultured bacterium. RNAcentral's name for it is "partial 16S ribosomal RNA". It matches the Rfam family "Bacterial small subunit ribosomal RNA", at positions 28 to 523 of the family's 1533-position model. The record is from RNAcentral.